This 433-nucleotide ribosomal RNA is filed under the name uncultured bacterium. Its description in RNAcentral is "partial 16S ribosomal RNA". It matches the Rfam family "Bacterial small subunit ribosomal RNA", at positions 29 to 507 of the family's 1533-position model. The record is from RNAcentral.
AACGAACGCUGGCGGCAUGCCUAACACAUGCAAGUCGAACGAGACCUUCGGGUCUAGUGGCGCACGGGUGCGUAACGCGUGUGAACCUGCCUUUAGGUUCGGAAUAACUCAGAGAAAUUUGAGCUAAUACCGGAUGAUGUCUUCGGACCAAAGAUUUAUCGCCUUUAGAUGGGCCCGCGUUGGAUUAGCUAGUUGGUGGGGUAAAGGCCUACCAAGGCGACGAUCCAUAGCUGGUCUGAGAGGAUGAUCAGCCACACUGGGACUGAGACACGGCCCAGACUCCUACGGGAGGCAGCAGUGGGGAAUAUUGGACAAUGGGCGAAAGCCUGAUCCAGCAAUGCCGCGUGAGUGAUGAAGGCCUUAGGGUUGUAAAGCUCUUUUACCCGAGAUGAUAAUGACAGUAUCGGGAGAAUAAGCUCCGGCUAACUCCGUG